UAUAAUAAAAAUGUAAUAAUUUAAUUGUCUUUUAAUUAAUUUACUUUAUUUUUAUUUUUUUUAAAAAACUGAAAAGGAAAUUAUUAUUAUAAUUUAACAGAAAAAUUAAUGUACCUUUUGCAUUAGGGGUUUUUAAAAAAAAAUAAAAAUUUAUUUUUCUCGAAAUAUUUUGAGCUAAAAUUUAAUUUUUCUAAUAUUUCAAUAUUAAAUUAAAAUAAAUUUUAGAGGUGAAAUUCUUAUCAAAAAAUAUAAUAUCUAGUUAAAAAAUUUAAUUAAAUAUUAUUUUGUAAUAUUGUUUUAUUUUUUAAAAUUACAAAAAAAAAUUUUUGGGAUAAGCUAAAAAUUAUUAAAUUUAUGAUAUUUUAAAAAUUAAUAAAAGAAUUAAAAUUUUUCUAUUUAUUUUUAUAAAUAAAUUAAAUUAAAUUAAAUUAAAAAAAAUUUUUUUUUUAAAAUUAAAUUUAAUAUAAAAUUUAAAAAAAAAUGAAAAUAUUAGUAAAAAAUUUUUUAUUUAUAAUUUUUAAAUAUUAAUUAAAAGUUAAUUAAAUUUAAUUUUAAAGAACUAGGCAAUUAUUUUUUUUGACUGUUUAAUAAAAACAACGCAUUUAGAUAAACAAUAAAUGUAAAUCCUGCUCAAUGAAAAUUUUUUUAAAUUGCUGUAGUAUUUUGACUAUACAAAGGUAUUGAAAUAAGAUUUUAAUUGAAUGCUAAGAGAAUGGAAUAUCAAAGAAUAACUUUCUUAAAAUUAAAAAUUGAAAUUUUUUUAAUUUGUGUAAAAACAAUUAUAAAAAUUAAAGACAAGAAGACCCUAAGAAUUUUUAAAAUUUAAAUUAAUACAUUUUUGUUUUAAUUAAAUUUUAACUGGGGCGGUUAAAAAAUAUUAAAAACUUUUUAAUUUGAAAAUGAUCCAUUAUUAAUGAAAAUAUGAUAAAAUACUCUAGGGAUAACAGCGUUAUAUUUUUUGAUAGAUCAUAUUGACAAAAAAGUUUGCGACCUCGAUGUUGGAUUAGGAUACUUUUUUAAUGAAGAUAUUAAAAUAAGAAGUUUGUUCAACUUUUAAAUUCCUACAUGAUCUGAGUUUAGACCGAUGAGAAUCAGGUUGGAUUCUAUCUUAAUAAAAAACAAAUUUUAUUUAGUACGAAAGGAAUUUUAAAAUCUAAUUUUUUAGUAUUAUUCAUUUUAUUUGCAUCAAUUUUUGUAAUU
RNAcentral lists this ribosomal RNA (1200 nucleotides) under Rhipicephalus annulatus. RNAcentral describes it as "16S ribosomal RNA". The record is from RNAcentral. Lineage: Eukaryota; Metazoa; Arthropoda; Arachnida; Ixodida; Ixodidae.